This 253-nucleotide ribosomal RNA is filed under the name uncultured bacterium. RNAcentral's name for it is "partial 16S ribosomal RNA". It matches the Rfam family "Bacterial small subunit ribosomal RNA", at positions 524 to 776 of the family's 1533-position model. The record is from RNAcentral.
UACGUAGGGUGCAAGCGUUAAUCGGAAUUACUGGGCGUAAAGCGUGCGCAGGCGGCUCUGUAAGUCAGAUGUGAAAUGCCCGGGCUUAACCUGGGAACUGCAUUUGUGACUGCAUGGCUAGAGUUUGGCAGAGGGGGGUAGAAUUCCACGUGUAGCAGUGAAAUGCGUAGAUAUGCGGAGGAACACCGAUGGCGAAGGCAAUCCCCUGGGCCUGCACUGACGCUCAGGCACGAAAGCGUGGGGAGCAAACAGG